Chlorocebus sabaeus (green monkey) is the source of this 82-nucleotide microRNA precursor. The record is from Ensembl. Lineage: Eukaryota; Metazoa; Chordata; Mammalia; Primates; Cercopithecidae.
AUUAGGAUGGUGCAAAAGUAAUUGUGGUUUUUGUCUUUACUUUUAAUGGCAAAGACUGCAAUUACUUUUGCGCCAACCCAAU